Molecule: transfer RNA, 60 nt
Filed under: Cordylochernes scorpioides
Lineage: Eukaryota; Metazoa; Arthropoda; Arachnida; Pseudoscorpiones; Chernetidae
Description: tRNA-OTHER
Source: RNAcentral
UGCAUCGGCCGGGAAUCGAACCCGGGGCAGGCGAGCAUUCUACCACUGAACCACCGAUGG